Molecule: long non-coding RNA, 704 nt
Filed under: Physcomitrium patens
Lineage: Eukaryota; Viridiplantae; Streptophyta; Bryopsida; Funariales; Funariaceae
Description: long non-coding RNA (PPAT_LNC014057)
Source: RNAcentral
CUUCGAUUCCAGCUAGGCUUUCGCCUGUUACCUCACUGGGGGCAUCAUCACCGGGAACAAGGCGUUCGGGGUGGCCGGUGAAAGUUUUCCUCCCAUUCACCAUGUGGCCCUGUUUGCUUUGACCCAUUUGAUGCCAUUGUCAUGCCCCAACUGAUAUGGACCUGCUUCUAUGCAGUUAACUGUGAUUUCACGCAGCGAUUUCAGAAUGGAUGAUCAGUCAGAGAUGCCGCCUCACGCCAUAGCCCCAUUGCGCUUCUGUCGCAUACCAAGUAGGAGUGUGGAACGGCAAAUUGACUUCCACCUCUUGCUGCUGCUGCAGCAUCACGAAGAUGAAGAUGAAGAAGAAGGAACACUAUCGUCAUUUUCCCACAAUGGGUCAUGGUUUCACGCAACCUUGCAAGUCCUUUCGCAACUCCAUUCACUUCAUCUCACACUCCCUCUUUUCUACACCCCCAAUAAUAGACUUGUGUGAAGUUCUAGAACCCAUUGUGCAUUGUACCCAGAUCCUCAUUCGCAUCGUGCACACUUUUUGGACAAAAAAAUAAAAACAAAUAAACCUUGUUUACAUAUCAUAAACAGCAAAAGUAGUGUGUAUGUGUGUUUUUUAUGGAGGUUUUUGUCUGUGUUUACUGCAAUGUUGCGUAAGUACUGUUUGUUGGUUGAUGUUCAUUAUAGUUCUAGUGAGAUUUGAAAGUGAUAUGCAA